RNAcentral lists this transfer RNA (72 nucleotides) under Sillago sinica. Its description in RNAcentral is "tRNA-Thr". It matches the Rfam family "tRNA". Rfam says of the family: Transfer RNA (tRNA) molecules are approximately 80 nucleotides in length. Lineage: Eukaryota; Metazoa; Chordata; Actinopteri; Sillaginidae. The record is from RNAcentral.
GCACCAGAAGCUCAGAGCCCGAGCGCCGGUCUUGUAAACCGGAAGUCGGGGGUUCAAAUCCCCCCUGCUGCU